GAAGGUGGCAAGCGUUGUUCGGAAUCACUGGGCUUAAAGCGCGCGUAGGCGGAAUAGAUAGUGUCUUGUGAAAUCCCUCGGCUUAACCGAGGAAUUGCGAGGCAAACUUCUAUUCUUGAGGCAAGUAGGGGUACAUGGAACUCUUGGUGGAGCGGUGGAAUGCGUAGAUAUCAAGAGGAACGCCAAAGGUGAAGACAGUGUACUAGGCUUGUCCUGACGCUGAGGUGCGAAAGCGUGGGGGAGCGAAAGGGAUUAGAUACCCCUGUAGUCCACGCUGUAAACGAUGUCUACUAGGUUGCGGGUGUUCUGACACAGUCGCAGUCGAAGCAAAAGUGUUAAGUAGGCCGCCUGGGAGUACGGUCGCAAGGCUA
RNAcentral lists this ribosomal RNA (371 nucleotides) under uncultured organism. RNAcentral's name for it is "partial 16S ribosomal RNA". It matches the Rfam family "Bacterial small subunit ribosomal RNA", at positions 527 to 896 of the family's 1533-position model. The record is from RNAcentral.